This 526-nucleotide ribosomal RNA is filed under the name uncultured bacterium. RNAcentral describes it as "bacterial SSU rRNA". It matches the Rfam family "Bacterial small subunit ribosomal RNA", at positions 20 to 518 of the family's 1533-position model. The record is from RNAcentral.
UGGCUCAGGACGAACGCUGGCGGCGUGCCUAAUACGUGCAAGUUGAACGGUCUUUCUAUGGAAGCUUGCUUCCACUGAGAAGAUAGUGGCGAACGGGUGAGUAACACGUGGGUAACCUGCCCAUAAGAGGGGGGAUAACAUCCGGAAACGGGUGCUAAUACCGCAUAGUUUUCUUGAUUGCAUGAUUGAGAAAGGAAAGACGGCCUUUGUGCUGUCGCUUAUGGAUGGACCCGCGGCGUAUUAGUUAGUUGGUGAGGUAACGGCUCACCAAGACGAUGAUACGUAGCCGACCUGAGAGGGUGAUCGGCCACAUUGGGACUGAGACACGGCCCAAACUCCUACGGGAGGCAGCAGUAGGGAAUCUUCCGCAAUGGACGAAAGUCUGACGGAGCAACGCCGCGUGAGUGAAGAAAGGUUUUCGGAUCGUAAAACUCUGUUGUCAGAGAAGAACAAGUUGGAGAGUAACUGCUCCAGCCUUGACGGUAUCUGACCAGAAAGCCACGGCUAACUACGUGCCAGCAGCGGC